RNAcentral lists this ribosomal RNA (253 nucleotides) under uncultured bacterium. RNAcentral describes it as "partial 16S ribosomal RNA". It matches the Rfam family "Bacterial small subunit ribosomal RNA", at positions 524 to 776 of the family's 1533-position model. The record is from RNAcentral.
UACGGAGGGGGCUAGCGUUGUUCGGAAUUACUGGGCGUAAAGCGCACGUAGGCGGCUUUGUAAGUUAGAGGUGAAAGCCCGGAGCUCAACUCCGGAAUUGCCUUUAAGACUGCAUCGCUCGAAUCAUGGAGAGGUGAGUGGAAUUCCGAGUGUAGAGGUGAAAUUCGUAGAUAUUCGGAAGAACACCAGUGGCGAAGGCGACUCACUGGACAUGUAUUGACGCUGAGGUGCGAAAGCCAGGGGAGCGAACGGG